CGUGUUCAAAGAAUAUAAGAAAUUUGCAGACUAUACCAGAAGCCGAACUGGAAGUGUGUGAAGGGCGGGACGCGAAGGGAGAGAUGGGGCGAGGGGGGUCAGACGGAGGGAGGUCGAUGACCCGCCCGUCUAACAUAAGUGCCGGUUUUGACUAUUUCCCCCGAAAAUGUAUUUUAUCGCCCAGGACGCCCUUGAGACUCAGUGCUGUGGUGAUAUAUGAGGAUCCCUGUGAAGAUGAACAGUAGACAGAAAGUACAUGGAAAGUAACAGAAGAGAUACAGUAAGUGGGGCUAAAGUGACGGCGAGUGGUUGCGGCCCCGACCGUCAGUGGGUCCCGGCCAGCCAGCCGCGCCGCCACUUCCUCGCCGGGCGCCGCGCAGAGCACACACCCUCGCUGCCGGCCGCGCCACCCACCACGCCCUUCUGUCUCGCACGUCUCAGCGCCUCAGGGCGUCUUUAAGGUGCUGCUCAGUCUGUGGGGUCUCCUGCUACCUUGCAAACCAGACACUCAUGGAAAAGGAGGCGCCCUCCAAAACUAUAUUUAGCUGGCCACGAGGCAGCUGACCUGGCCAGUGGCGACCCGUUACGUGACGGUGCCUCCCGUCCCAUCCACCAGCCUCCGCACUGCACCAGCUGCUGCUGCUGCUGCUGCUGAUCCAGCCACCACCCUACUCAACCACUACGCUGCCAUGAUGCCACAGUGCCACGUGCCGGUACGAUCUCCCGCAAACCACUACGACCUCAUCUGUCCCAGUAAGCUUCCAUCGUUCCAACCUAUCCGCUGAAGUGAAGUCUGUGGAACCAACUUUUAUUUACCCACAUUCCCAUGUCCUUCGGCAACCAGCGUGACGUGACGUCUGGGAGCAGGCGCGACGGUGCCAUCAGCUGGGCGGGUGAGGGGGAGGAGGGGGCGGCACUAGGUAACAGUGAGGCCGGCAGCAGGGAGGCCUGUCUCGCUCAGCAACCAUUUCCCUCAAGCCGUCACCUUCCCUACCCAGAAAUCGUCAGUACUUCUGCAGGUGAAACUUCCUUUCCCGUCUGCACCCUCGUUCGUCUUCCAAAGCUCACGCCCCCUGUUACAUGUCCCCUUCCCCCAAUCAGUGUGCCAGUGGACAUCUUCCAUUACCCAUCCGAAGAAGGACAUCUGCUCGCAAUUUGACAUGCCACGUGGCUGUCGGCUUUGCUGCUCGCACCUACUCCUUACUGGAAGUGAAAGUUGGUCAGCCAAGGUUCUCAGCGAGGUCAGUGCAGCUUGCACCUGUCCGACCUCGCACGCCCCGCCGCCACCAAAGCGGCCCUUGGACACCACAAAGUGAUGAAGAGUGAACAGUGAACAUGGGAGUGUGAUGAUGGACACGGUGAAGGGGAGGACACAGUCAUUACCCUCAUGGCGUCACUGGAAGGAAUGUGUUGACAUACUCUUGUGUCGCCUCGUUCAAGGGCAGCCUUGUUACAGUGCUAGUAAGCCUUCGCCAGUUGACAAGAUGCUCUAGAGGACAUGCUUUACUCUCAUCACGUGAAACCUGGCGGAAGUUACGUCAUCGCAAACAAUGGCCGUCAUGAACCCAACCUCUCACUGGCCGCAGCUUCGACAGCGUCAUGAGAACGCUGCUUUCCAAUUGGUGCAGACACCACGAUGACGUAACGAAGACCCUCCUGAUUGGCCAGCGGUGAGCUGUGGCUGGUGACGUGGUAGCAGAGCAGAGCUGUGGUUGGUGGAUGCUUUGGCUGCCAGACCCAGCCAGGCCACUGUCGGGCUCACAUGGCUGGGAAUGGAAACCCCUCUCGCCUCCAGUCUGGAGGCUUCUCAUCAGCUGUUCGCAAGGGCGGAGCUACAACGGAGGGCCGCGGCCCGGCCUCUGCUCCCUCACAGCCCAGUACAGGGCCACAUCGAGACAUAUUCCUCGCCCGCUGAGGCACAGUAUGACUGUGGGCACUCAAUACUGAGGGAGUGUGCUGCGAUCAAGACAUAAUAGCCUCUAUGUUGCUUGCCCAUUGGGAUCAGUGAAAGUUCAGCCGGCGACACCUUGACAUCAGCUGCUGCCGGCCGGCUUGUCUUCGCUAGCUGUGACCCACUUGGACGCCUGACUCACCGCCAAAUUACUGAAGCUGCUGGAACCCAGGGAGGCCAGGCGUCUCACUCCGCUGCUGCGGGAAUGUAUGUCAUUAGCGAAUAUCCUGAUCAUUCCGCCUCUCACAUGACGGAUCCACGUUAAAUAUAGGCAAAGGGAGUGUGGCGCUGGGUGUGGGCGGGGCUGGGUCAUGUUCCUGGUUGUUGACGGGCAUGGGCGGAGCUCAUGCCUUGCCCGCCCUACAAAGAGCCAUUAAUUACGACUCGCUCAUCAUUAGGUUGCUUACGACCGCCAUCGUAAGUCACUGCAAGGUAGUCGGGCACUGUGGCAUCCAGGAAGUCAAGAGCUUCAUGGUGACGAGUGUUGCUGCUUCCUUUCGCCUGGAAUAGCCAUUCGUGCUAUUCGGUGUCUCCUUCCGCUGCGGAGCGUUACAAGUGCGAUGGACAGCCUGAGCUCAGUGUGGGGAGGGAUGAAGCCGUAAUAACGAGAGAAAAAAUAAAACUAUCACAUUACAUUGCCAAUAUAAUGGCUGGAGUUUUUGCCUCCGUGUAAGGACAAAAAAAGCAUGAGAAGUAAGACCCCGACACCCCAGGUAGAACAGUGUGGAUUCGCUCAUCCGUUCCGCCGCCAGUAAUUCCCUCCCACAAAAAAAAAAAAAAAAAGUUACUUGCAACAUUCAUUCGCAAGAGCCGCGAUCGCUAGACUCGAACACGACUCUUAGGCCUCUGGGUGGCCCAUUCCCCUCCACCCCCUCUUUCAUUCAGACCCGCUCGCCCUCUCUCGGAAGAUAACUAAUGUACCAUCAAAAGGUCACUUAAAGGUCUCUGAAACUCCCUCCCGACAAGGAUGGCAGCAGGGUAGCCAAAAGCGGCAACAACUCUGCAAACUAGGCUGCCUGAUAUCUCCUGAAGGGAGGGGAGGACGGUUACGACAGCACUGCUACACGUCAGGAAGGCUUAGCAUAUGAUGGCUGUGUGUGUGCGCGUGCGUGUGUAGGGGCGGAGAGGCACGAGUGGCGACCUCUGUUUACUGUUGCACCACUACCACCACCUCCACCAUCUCUCAAUAUCCCCUUUGGAAACGAAGCGUGCAAGUUUCUCUCUCAGUAAGGAGCUCAUUCCGGCAAUUUUCUGCGGUGGUAACAAUGGUAAUUUAUCAUGAAGCCACAGGAGAGGUACAGGACCCCGAUUCGCAUGCUAUUCACUUGACAUCGGAAGUGACGUCAUCAGAGUGAGGGAAUGAAUGGAUGGAACAGGAUGGGGGCGGGGCGGUAGAUUCGUAGUCCAUUCACGACCUUCUGCGAGGCUUGGCAUCAUGCAAAUGGAAUGUGAUGUUCAUAUUGAGGAACAACUCAGUCGUUUGUGUGAAUUAGAGGGUUGUCUAUGACAUUGUGUUAACAAUGUCUUUGUGGAGCGUCUGGUGUACAAGUACCUCCUCUUUUCUGUAACAAGAAACAAGCGUGACAAAAUAAGGCGGUGUGGAAAAAUGUGGAGCCUGCUUCACACAGCUGGUGUGUUGACGUCAUCAAAUAUGUGAGACGUGAGUGGCCGUACCGACCCAACGGUGAAACACAGCCCUCAUCUGACUGGUCGAGAAGCCUUGACGUCACUUUUUCGGAAACACCGAGUGGGUGCCGGGAGCGGUGAUUGGUUCAAGGGCCACAUUCCUGACGAUCCCAUGUGAGCCGCACCCGGACACGCUGCUGAUUUCAGAGGUUUGCCGGCUGUUGGAUCCCCAGCCCUUGGUGGCGCACGCGAAGCCGUAUCAUUAUUAGUCGCAGCAAGCCGUCAAGACCGAGAUCUCUGCCCAUCGCGACGCAUUGCUCACCUCAGCACGGCUAGCAGUAUAUUCAACUAGUGGAUAAAUGAGGAAUUACUAUGCUCGUCAGGGAUGAAUGGAGACGUACUGACCUCUGCUGCUUGCUGGGCUGGACCGGUGAGAGACCUGGAAGAGAGUUAGAGAUAUUUAAAAGUGGCGUUUUGAUAACUAUUAUUAGAAAAAAAAUAAUAACCACCGGGAAUAAAUACACAAAGAAAGAAAACUUCUUGAUAAGGAUAGCUAGGAUCAAGUGACAACAUGAAUGAGGAUGUUGGGGGUGGAGCUAUGAUUCAGAAGGAAACUGAAACCAUAAAUUAUAAUUAUAAAAAGUUAAUAAUCUUAGUAAAUCUCUCUCUCUCUCUCUCUCUCUCUCUCUCUCUCUCUCUCUCUCUCUCUCUCUCUCUCUCAACACCCCGCUUCCUUCUCAUGGUUUGUCCGUGUCUGGUCGUCUUACUCCUCCCUUCCUCCCGCUGCUUCCUCCAUCGCGGUAUAACUCCCUCCCUUCUUCCUUCCCACUCACUUGUCCUCCCUCCCUCUCUCCCUUUAUGAUUUCCUCCACAACCUCGUCCCUCUCCCUCUGUCCUUGUCUUACCCUGUUUGGUUCUACUGCACAUCACCUCAAGUAUGGCUUACUUGUUGCUUGGCUGUUUCCUUGUGUGUGUGUGUGUGUGUGUGUGUGUGUGUGUGUGUGUGUGUGUUUUUCUGUUAGCAUUAUUCCUAAUGGGAGACUUGCCGAGUUUCCUAAGAAUCAAGACCGAUACUAAUAAAUCGCACUUCUUUCGCCUCUCAUGAUGCAUCAGUACAAGCAGAGCGAGAUAAGCGUCCUUCUGCCGCCCCCCCUCCCCCUCCCCACACACACACACACACACACACACACACACACACACACACACACACUUUCUCACAUUCUGUCCCAAGGACACAAUUGGUGGAUCCCUCCGCUAUUAUUCCUGUCGUCCAUAACACCGGGGAAUCUGCAGCGACUGUAUUGGUCUGAGUUACCAGGUCCAGGCGGCGGAAGACCUUGGGGAAGGUGACUGAGCCGGCGGAGGAGGGAGGGCGGGGACGGCUCGCGGUUAGGAAGUCGUGACACCCGCGGGGAAGUGACGCCGCCAAGGAGGAAGCGGGGAGAGGAAAGGGUAAGACGCAGCGACGAUGGCCGGGAAUAUCCACAUUUUUAUAUUCUUUUAACGAAUGGAGGGAGUAGGACAGGUAGUGAUGAAAGAGGAGGGAAGUGGAUACGAGAAAGACCGAUCCCGCUUAUUCCUACGCCAUCCAACGGGAGAGGGAGUGCCUAACUUGCAACAGUCAUGGUCGUAAUUGAGUUAAGACAACGUGCACGAGUCUCACCUUGGUCACAUCCUCUUAUAUUUUAUCGACACCGUUUUCCUCCACUACUAGCCUCGCGGCGCCCCUACCACUUCCACUCCCUUACACUACCCUCCCACUCCCUCCCUCACAAGAACCCUUGGUAAACCUUAGAGCCAAUGAACGCUGUCGGAACCACCAGUGACUAGAUAUUACCGACGUCAAACAGAACUGGAUGAUAAGACGGGACAGAAUUAUUCCCAGUAUUGUUGUUAACCGGGUGUCGCUGAUCUUGCGCAACCCUACUCACCACCUGCCGCGCCUCGGGCGCCACCACCACCGUCGCCACGCUGCCCGCCGCCGUGACUGGGCAUGGUGUGGGCGGCCAGCAGACGGCAGUGAGUAAAGGGAACAGGAAGUCAGCAAGCGUUUGUUGGUAAUGUGGGAUGUUGUUGCCAAUGCCGCGCCACAAUUACGCGACUGGAGUUUGUGACACAGAACUCUCGAAUAUCAACUUCCUUUCCAUUCACAUACAACCGUAAUUACUAGGGUCUGAAGGGGCAAUUUGCCUUGGAAGCGGCCCUCCCUUCUUCCCUUCCUCGCUCUUUCCCUCCUUCCCUCCUCCCUACAUUGAGAGCUGCUCAUUUCAUCCUGCUUUCUUUUUCAUUGCUGUCACUUUUCUUCAACCUUUCAUGUGCGCUCUCUCUCUCUCUCUCUCUCUCUCUCUCUCUGGUAAUUCACACCCACUCCUCUGCCACGCCACGGUCAGCCACUCUUCCUUUCUCCCUCGUACUGUACAACCUAUUUCCUUAUCCUUUCAUGAACCAAGGGAAAAAAAAGUUCAUUCUUCAGUUCAUUCUGCAGGAUCAAUUACUUUUUUCCUUCCUUCCCCAACAAGCCUUUCCAUCCUUCCCCUUCCCACUCCACUCUCCCCCUUCCGCUCCCCUACCUCUCCCUUUCCUUUCCUCCCCCUCCUACACAUCCGCCGCUCGCAGUGUUACCAAAGCAAGACUUUUGAAGCGAUUUCUUUCAGAAUUUCAUCAGUGGCAAAAACUGCGUCGGUCAGUGAGACUAACUACAUUCCUGCAUUUUAAAAAUCCUUUGAGCGGAGAGAGGCGCGAAGGGGUCUAGUUAUAUAUCUGUGUUACUGUCACUGGCGAGGCCUUGCACUGGAAGUGCCGUGUGUGAUUGGGCGGGGCGAGGGAUGUAUGUCGGAGGUGGUAACACUGCAGCUGUCGCAGGGGUUUUCCAAUGUGUUGUGGCGGUGGGGAGGUGAAGGGGGAAGAUAGAGGUGGUAAGGUGGAGAGGGGGAAGGUGGAGGAAGAAAGGCACGGGGGGGGUUCUUACUUUCCCCUGACGCACCUUCCUCCUCCUCCUCCUCCUCCCUCUUGGUGCCGUCUGGGCUACCUUGCUUGGCAGUCUCAGUUCACGUCGCUGUGGUUUGCUUUUUCACAGCUAUAAACGCAUACUCCAUUUUAUCCCCAGAUCAGUAAAACAUAGUGUAAAAAUCAGUAAUCUUCCUGUCAUCAAAUCAGUUCGCCCCCACACUGAUAAGACAUGACGUAAUCCACUGAGGUAUGGCAGGUCAGUCAGCCGGUGGUGCCAGGCAGCCCGAGCACCCUCACCACGAGUGUGCUCAAGAUAAAGCAGUAGACAGACCGCUUUCUCUCAGACGCUUCCCCGAAAACACCGCCGUUCACUCUAGGAAAGGAAGGAAAGCGUUGCGACAUUUUCCGAGGAAAGCCUUCAGAUACGUCACGGCAAGCCUUGGCGAGCGAGCCACGUCAGACAGACAGAAGCUUGGUCUCCCUCCCUCUGCAUGUGGCGCCAUACCCUACUGCUAUCCUGACGCACUGGUAGCCCCUUCAUCUGUGAAAAGAAUGGUGGUGAUGGUGGUAGUAGUGGUGGGGCGUUAAGGUAGGAGGUGGCGAGUUUGAUUAUCACCUUGCUUUGUCUCUCCUUAUCUGAGUCCCACGUUACUACUAUCGCAACCAAUAAGCGUACACUAACCAUCAUCACCACCGUUGUAGACCUCAGACAUCACCGCCAGCUUCACAGCCCCCUCCCUCAGACCGCAGCGCAUUAGGGAAGCCAAAUACACUCGCACGCACGUAAGGAAAAGAAAUAUGAGUAUUAACAAGGACACUGGCGUCUGUCGUCUGUAUGCUUGGAAUGUCCAGUGUGUGUGUGUGUGUGUGUGUGUGUGUGUGUUCGGUGGCCAUCUUCCAGAGCGGUGUCUCUCUGUGUGUGUGUGUGUGUGUGUGUGUGUGUGUGUUCGGUGGCCAUCUUCCAGAGCGGUGUCUCUGUGUGUGUGUGUGUGUGUGUGUGUGUGUGUGUGUGUGUGUGUGUGUCCUGUAUUACAGCGGUGUCCACGGGCACGGAUUUCCCAGGGAGAAUAAGCGAGUCCAAUCAGUGGAUGACGGCUGCUGGAUGCGUCUGCCACACCGGAUGGAAAAGUGA
This 7658-nucleotide long non-coding RNA is filed under the name Portunus trituberculatus (swimming crab). RNAcentral's name for it is "uncharacterized LOC123516010, transcript variant X1". Lineage: Eukaryota; Metazoa; Arthropoda; Malacostraca; Decapoda; Portunidae. The record is from RNAcentral.